Molecule: transfer RNA, 76 nt
Filed under: Verrucomicrobiota bacterium
Lineage: Bacteria; Pseudomonadati; Verrucomicrobiota
Also listed under: 2 other names
Description: tRNA-Thr
Rfam family: tRNA
About the family: Transfer RNA (tRNA) molecules are approximately 80 nucleotides in length. Their secondary structure includes four short double-helical elements and three loops (D, anti-codon, and T loops).
Source: RNAcentral
GCCGGCUUAGCUCAGCUGGUAGAGCAACUGAUUUGUAAUCAGUAGGUCGACGGUUCGAGUCCGUCAGCCGGCUCCA